AAAGAUUUAGUUAAACAUAUAACGUUAAUUUGUCAAGUUAAAAUAAUUGAAAAAUAAUCUUUG
RNAcentral lists this transfer RNA (63 nucleotides) under Cryphalus abietis. RNAcentral describes it as "tRNA-Asp". Lineage: Eukaryota; Metazoa; Arthropoda; Insecta; Coleoptera; Curculionidae. RNAcentral also lists the same sequence under 1 other name. The record is from RNAcentral.